Molecule: long non-coding RNA, 792 nt
Organism: Cygnus olor (mute swan)
Lineage: Eukaryota; Metazoa; Chordata; Aves; Anseriformes; Anatidae
Exons: 3
Source: RefSeq, a predicted model, not a curated record
UGUGUCUCCAAACACCCAGGGCCACCUGAGCUCAGCCUGGGGGCAGCUGGUCCCUGCCACAGCUGUACCUGGUGAGUCCCCAGCCUGCCUUGAGCCAGACCUCCACCUGUGGGUUGACUUCCAUCUGGACCUCUUUGUGACCCUAAUAUUGCAUUAUGUUCUCAGUGCUUGGUGGGAUCUGGUCUCUCUCUCCAGUGUUGCACCACUUGUCUUGCUUAGGUACUUGUAGAUGUGCUCUGGCUGAAGAGGUCUCUUCUUGACCUUCCAUGGGGUGCCCUCUGCUCUGGGUUGUCCUCCUAUUAGACAGUAGCCCUGCUUGGGUGGCUCCAUCCCAUGCUGAUCUGAGAAAACUUCCCCCAGCAAGGAAGGUGGGACUGGAGGGGACUGGAACUGUGGUUGAGUAUACCUUUGGGGAGAAGCAACAGGUCUGGAACGGAUAUUAUGCAAACCCUACAACUCUACUGGUGCACGCUGCCUUGCAGGGAAUGAAGUUACUCCAUCAAAACAUUCAGACAAAUAUUGACAACUAGCUGUGCAAACUGAGUGUUUCCUCUGUGAACUUGACCAUGAUCUGACCAUGCUCUUCAGGUGCCAAAAGCUUCUUCAAGACUCAAGGUCCUGAAUAACUAGAACUCAAGAUUUGUUCCAUGUUUUAGAAAAUGUCGUCAUAUGUAGAGCAUGGAAUUAAUAGGCACCCCUGCUUUUCUGCCCUUCCACUGGUACCUCCUGUUGCUUGUUACAGUUAAAGACACUUCACUAAUAUGAUGACUUGGCAACUGUCUUGAACUUUCC